Molecule: long non-coding RNA, 1400 nt
Filed under: Nicotiana benthamiana
Lineage: Eukaryota; Viridiplantae; Streptophyta; Magnoliopsida; Solanales; Solanaceae
Description: long non-coding RNA (NBEN_LNC005450)
Source: RNAcentral
GAGAUUUGUCGGCUUUGCUGCUGAUCUUUCACUUUCUUGCUAUUUUGGUGGAUCUCUCUCUAAUCUGAUUUGCUUUACUGGAUCGAACGAUCUGGGGUUCGAUUGAUUGAUUUAGUUUUUUUCUUCCCGUGGUGGUGAUGGUAAUAGCUGCCGGAUCUUGAGGUACUCUUUUUGGAAAUAUUGCUGAAUUUUCUCUAUUCAAAUUGAUCAAAUGAAAUUGUUGAAAGAUUUUGAUUUGUGGGUUUUUCAGUAGGAUGGGCUAGCUUUGACUAGGGCUUUACUUUUAUCAAAAUGCUUGUAAUUGCUCUUCUUGAAUUCUCCUUCUAACUGAACAAUGAGCUAAAUCUAUUCUUUUUUCUUUUAAUUCAUAAUUUCUGCUUUUAUUUUCUUGGUGAUUGAAACAGAUUUGAUCUGUAAUUUGGGUAGCUCUAAAAAAAGCAGAUCCUCAGCUUUUGUUCAGUGUCUUCUGUAAGUUGGGCAUGUUGGUCGGCAACCUAUCUGGCUGAGGCUGUUAUCUGAUUGCAAUUCGAUUCAAGUAGAGUAAUAAUGGAUCCAGAAGCUGAUGUUAAGGUUUGUUCUUUAUUAAAAUAAAUAAAGACUCUACCUUUACUUUGGUUUUGCACUUUUGUAUUCGGAUUGAUAUGAUAAUAUCACUUCUUGUCAUUUUCCAAUUUGGGUUUGGUAUUUUGGUCAGUUAAUUUGUCUGUGGUGUUCCAUUACCCUGCGCUCUCUUUCACCAUCAGGUUGAAAUGUUUGUUGUAAUUUGUCAAGAACGAAACUUAAAUUUUGUAGUAUUUUUCCAAUUGACAUUCAGAAGGUAUUAGAAUGUGUAGAUCUUUGAUUUGAAGCUUAAUUUGGCGUUGUUCUACAAAUGAUGAGUAGAAGUAGUUUGUCUGAUCUUGUAUAAUAUUCGGUGAAGCUUGAAUGAUAAUUUUAGCAAGCUUAUAUAAAAACUAGGAAUUCCCUGAUUGUGCUGAUUUGUUUGCACAGGGGAAGUCCUUGAAGACCUUAGGUGGUCAAGUCUGUCAGAUCUGUGGCGAUGGUGUUGGCACUACUGUAGGGGGCGAUCCAUUUGUUGCUUGCGAUGUCUGUGCCUUCCCUGUUUGUAGGCCAUGCUAUGAAUACGAGAGGAAGGACGGGAAUCAAUCUUGCCCUCAGUGCAAGACCAGAUACAAGAGACAUAAAGGUAUGGAUGAUUCUGAUUUGAGCAAUUAAUGAGAGGAAGGAUGGGAAUCAAUCUUGCCCUCAGUGCAAGACCAGAUACAAGAGACAUAAAGGUAUGGAUGACUGAUUUGAGCAAUUAAGUUGAAUAGCUAAUAUGUCAGUCAAGAUUUGUUGGCCAAGAGAAGUAAGAACUUAAGUUUUUGAUUCUGGCGCAUGAUUGUAUAUGCUGAUUGGCA